CAGCACCUCGAGUGGUCAGGAUGAUUAUUGGGCCUAAAGCAUCCGUAGCCUGCUUUGUCAGUUUUCGGUUAAAUCCAUACGCUCAACGUAUGGGCUGCCGGGAAUACUGCAAAGCUAGGGAGUGGGAGAGGUAGACGGUACUCGGUAGGAAGGGGUAAAAUCCUUUGAUCUAUUGAUGACCACCUGUGGCGAAGGCGGUCUACCAGAACACGUCCGACGGUGAGGGAUGAAAGCUGGGGGAGCAAACCGGAUUAGAGACCCGAGUAGUCC
This 270-nucleotide ribosomal RNA is filed under the name uncultured archaeon. Its description in RNAcentral is "partial 16S ribosomal RNA". It matches the Rfam family "Archaeal small subunit ribosomal RNA", at positions 477 to 747 of the family's 1478-position model. The record is from RNAcentral.